Molecule: ribosomal RNA, 253 nt
Filed under: uncultured bacterium
Lineage: Bacteria
Description: partial 16S ribosomal RNA
Rfam family: Bacterial small subunit ribosomal RNA
Source: RNAcentral
UACAGAGGUCUCGAGCGUUAGGCGGAAUCACUGGGCCUAAAGCGUGUGUAGGCGGGUCGUUAAGUGCCUUGUGAAAUCCCAUGGCUCAACCAUGGAACUGCUGGGCAUACUGGCGAUCUUGUGCCACCUAGGGGCGAGCGGAACAGAUGGUGGAGCGGUGAAAUGCGUAGAUAUCAUCUGGAACGCCAAUGGUGAAAACAGCUCGCUGGGGGUGUGCAGACGCUGAGACACGGAAGCCAGGGGAGCGAACGGG